Long non-coding RNA from Cyprinodon tularosa, 515 nucleotides. RefSeq lists it as uncharacterized. The record is from RefSeq and is a predicted model, not a curated record. Lineage: Eukaryota; Metazoa; Chordata; Actinopteri; Cyprinodontiformes; Cyprinodontidae. The transcript is spliced from 2 exons.
UUGUCCUGCAUGUGGAUGCAAGUGAUGUAGGUGCAGGUGCUGUCUUAUUUCAACAAGAUGAUGAUGGAGUUGAUCGACCUUUUCUUAUAGGCUUUUCCAGUGGCUAGGGUGGCUGAGCUAUUGAGGUGGGGAUUGAAUGGGUGAUUGUGGUAAGACUGCAAAGUCCAUUAGUAUUGCAAUUGUCACCUAGUUGUUAGUAUAAAUCGCUGUCUUUUUGGAGUCCCGGUUAGGACUCCAUUUGUAUGGGGGGGAGUGUGACAAUCCCCUUCUGUCCAGUAGGUGUCUCUAGUCCUCUACAUGUUUGUUCUUGUUUUUUUUCAGGAAGCAGGUAGAUGGACUGUUAAUUGCACACACCGGUGAAUGAUAAAAGGGGACGACUAGUCAGUCACUCGCUCUGCUUGUUUGCCCUCCGGACCAGGCCGGAACGAGCAGCAUUGGUCCACACUUCUCUCCGACUGGCUGGCCUGAUCUCACGGAGCGUAUUUUUGUAAUCAAUAAAUCGUUGUUGCUAUGGA